GUCGAACGGGAAUAGGAUGAAACCUAGUGAUUCCUAUUCCAGUGGCGGACGGGUGAGUAACGCGUGGGUAACCUGCCUUGCACUGGGGGAUAACACUUAGAAAUAGGUGCUAAUACCGCAUAAGCGCACAGAACCGCAUGGUUCGGUGUGAAAAACUCCGGUGGUGUAAGAUGGACCCGCGUCUGAUUAGCUGGUUGGUGAGGUAACGGCUCACCAAGGCGACGAUCAGUAGCCGGCCUGAGAGGGUGAACGGCCACAUUGGGACUGAGACACGGCCCAAACUCCUACGGGAGGCAGCAGUGGGGAAUAUUGCACAAUGGGGGAAACCCUGAUGCAGCAACGCCGCGUGAGUGAAGAAGUCAUUCGUGAUGUAAAGCUCUAUCAGCAGGGAAGAAAAUGACGGUACCUGACUAAGAAGCCCCGGCUAACUACGUGCCAGCAGCCGCGGUAAUACGUAGGGGGCAAGCGUUAUCCGGAUUUACUGGGUGUAAAGGGAGCGUAGACGGCACAGCAAGUCAGAAGUGAAAGCCCGGGGCUCAACUCCGGGACUGCUUUUGAAACUGUUGGGCUGGAGUGCAGGAGAGGUAAGCGGAAUUCCUAGUGUAGCGGUGAAAUGCGUAGAUAUUUGGGGGAACACCAGUGGCGAAGGCGGCUUACUGGACUGUAACU
This 669-nucleotide ribosomal RNA is filed under the name uncultured bacterium. RNAcentral's name for it is "bacterial SSU rRNA". It matches the Rfam family "Bacterial small subunit ribosomal RNA", at positions 61 to 741 of the family's 1533-position model. The record is from RNAcentral.